GACGGAGGGUGCAAACGUUGUUCGGAAUCACUGGGCAUAAAGAGCACGUAGGCUGCGCGCUAAGUCAGGUGUGAAAUCCCCCGGCUCAACCGGGGAACUGCACCUGAUACUGGCGUGCUCGAGGACGGUAGGGGUGAGUGGAAUUCCAGGUGUAGCGGUGAAAUGCGUAGAUAUCUGGAGGAAUACCGGUGGCGAAGGCGGCCUUCUGGACGGUGACUGACGCUGAGACGCGAAAGCGUGGGGAGCAAACAGG
RNAcentral lists this ribosomal RNA (253 nucleotides) under uncultured bacterium. RNAcentral's name for it is "partial 16S ribosomal RNA". It matches the Rfam family "Bacterial small subunit ribosomal RNA", at positions 524 to 776 of the family's 1533-position model. The record is from RNAcentral.